AUGCAGUCGAACGGGCUCUUCGGAGCAAGUGGCGGACGGGUGAGUAACGCGUGAGAAUGUGCCUUCAGGAUGGGGAUAACAAUAGGAAACUAAUGCUAAGACCCAAUGUGCCUUAAGUGGUGAAAAAUGAAAAUUGCCUGAAGAGGAGCUCGCGUCUGAUUAGCUAGUUGGGGUGGUAAAAGCGCACCAAGGCAACGAUCAGUAGCUGGUCUGAGAGGAUGAGCAGCCACACUGGGACUGAGACACGGCCCAGACUCCUACGGGAGGCAGCAGUGGGGAAUUUUCCGCAAUGGGCGAAAGCCUGACGGAGCAAUACCGCGUGAGGGAAGACGGCCUAUGGGUUGUAAACCUCUUUUUUCAGGGAGGAAUUCAAUGACGUGUACCUGAGGAAUAAGCAUCGGCUAACUCCGUG
Molecule: ribosomal RNA, 412 nt
Filed under: uncultured bacterium
Lineage: Bacteria
Description: bacterial SSU rRNA
Rfam family: Bacterial small subunit ribosomal RNA
Source: RNAcentral